This 300-nucleotide ribosomal RNA is filed under the name uncultured Sporohalobacter sp. RNAcentral's name for it is "bacterial SSU rRNA". It matches the Rfam family "Bacterial small subunit ribosomal RNA", at positions 496 to 795 of the family's 1533-position model. Lineage: Bacteria; Bacillati; Bacillota; Clostridia; Halanaerobiales; Halobacteroidaceae. The record is from RNAcentral.
GCAAACAGCGUGCCGCGACCCGCGGUAAUCGGUAGGGUGCAGGCGUUAUCCGGAAUCCCUGGGCGGAAAGCGUGCGUAGGUGGCGCGUUAAGUGAGAUGUUACAUCGUGUGGCUCAACCAUGGCGAGGCGUCUCAUACUGGCGUGCUAGAGGACAGCAGAGGCAAGUGGAAUUGGUAGUGUAGCAGUGAAAUGCGUAGAUAUUACCAGGAACACCAAUGGCGAAGGCAGCUUGCUGGGCUACUCCUGACACUGAGGUACGAAAGCGUGGGGAGCGAACGGGAUUAGAUACCCUAGUAGUC